Molecule: long non-coding RNA, 1634 nt
Organism: Solea solea (common sole)
Lineage: Eukaryota; Metazoa; Chordata; Actinopteri; Pleuronectiformes; Soleidae
Exons: 2
Source: RefSeq, a predicted model, not a curated record
GUUGAUUCCGAGGUGUGAUGAAACUGUGGUGGAUACCAGCCGUGUGCGUUCAUGCAGAAACGAGGGGCCAGAGGCUCUGGUGGUUUGCUCUCCAUGACCAAAGACUGGGUGAUGACUGUCGACUUGGAGAGGCAACAGAAGAUACCAUUACACAUCAUCCAGACCACACUGUGACCUGAUACCCUAAGUCUCAGAGGCUACAAGGCAGCUGACACUGUUAGAGCUAAUGGUGCCCUGGGCGGAGAGGAUGGAGGAGGCUCAAGAAAGGAAGAGGGAGAAAUAUAACGAGCUGGUAGAGGGCUGUCAGAGCAAGGGGUAGAUGACGAGGUGUAUGCCAGUGGGGGUGGGCAGUCAGGGAUUUGCCGGCCAUUUCCUGAAUAAGGCAGCAGAGAAAGCUUUGUGAAGAAGUUGAUGCCACUUGGAACCAGGCAGUUCGCCUGGACGGGGCUGUCUGUUGCAGGACCCAAAACACCCAGUGACACAAGGAAACAACACUGAAGAUAGUUUGCAUAAUGUAACUGAGUGGAAAUGUAAGUAUGUUUCUCUGGGUAACAAACAGGAGGUUGUGAAGGACAGCUAUUUUCUGCAUUUACCACAUAUAAAUGUGACAGUUUCUACAGCUGAUGGUUGCAAAAGAUUGGGCGAUGCCUUUUCACAAGUUUGGAUUCAAGUACUUUUGUAAUGUGUGUGGCGUCAGGACUACCUUGCCUUGCUGAUGAAGUUGUACGUGUCUGGCCAGUGGCAGAGCAGGUCAGUGGCUUCAACAUCGUGCACUCUGAUGUUCAUGUAAGUGAAAGACUCGGGGAAAAAGUUGUCGAUCUCUCUGGUCACAUUCAAAAUGUAGCCGACACUGAAAAACACACAGAGACACUUAAACCUAGAGCCUCGGCAGGGACUCUCUCGUGUGAUGAGAGAAUGGAAACCGAAGACAACAGCAAGAGCGCACAGAGCUACGGAAACGUUGAAGGUGAAAACACUGACUUGUUUUUCUGCAGCUCCUCAAAGUUGGCCGCGUUCCACUCAGAACCCUGAAACCAGAUAAAAGGAGACUUUCAACUGAGGCCACAGAGGAAGAAAAGCAAAGGGCCUUCACAGCCGUCUUCCCUAUUGCUGUCAACACAUGACUCGCAAAGGGGAAGUCACAGUCACGCACAACGCCCUGGUGAAAACUGAAAGCACACUUCCUUCAGUUUACUGACCAAGACAAAGCAAAGACUUCACAUGAUGAACUUUUAAUUAAACGCUGCUAUCUUGGAAGCCGAGCAGUCACUCACCAGGUAAAGAUAGUCAAAUAUUUUAGAGGGUUUGUCCAUCUGAGCCAUAGUGACCAGGAUCUCAUUGUCAAUGUAUUCCUUGAAAGGUCUCAUAUCAAAGCCUACUCUGGACUCUAGGGAAGUCUUCACCUACAGGAGAGCAGAGGAGAGAUCAGUUAAUUCAGGUGUGCACAGAUUUUGCUCUAGGAGUUCUUCGACCUCAUGUGCUCAUGUCUCACCAUUUUAGAUGUGAUGUUGUCCAGAUCCUCAGUCCUCAUAAUGUCUCUCAGGUGCUCUUUGAUCAGCGCCUCCUUGGUGAGUCUGUCUUCCGACCUUCCCACAAAGAAAACAAUAAAUAACAUUUUUCAUUUCAACACAGAA